RNAcentral lists this ribosomal RNA (253 nucleotides) under uncultured bacterium. RNAcentral's name for it is "partial 16S ribosomal RNA". It matches the Rfam family "Bacterial small subunit ribosomal RNA", at positions 524 to 776 of the family's 1533-position model. The record is from RNAcentral.
UACGUAGGGGCCGAGCGUUGUCCGGAGUUAUUGGGCGUAAAGCGCGCGCAGGCGGCUUCGCGCGCCCGCCGUGAAAGCCCCCGGCUUAACCGGGGAGAGUCGGUGGGGACGGCGGAGCUUGAGGGCGGGAGAGGUCGGUGGAAUUCCCGGUGUAGUGGUGAAAUGCGUAGAGAUCGGGAGGAACACCUGUGGCGAAGGCGGCCGACUGGGCCGACCCUGACGCUGAGGCGCGAAAGCGUGGGGAGCGAACAGG